Molecule: ribosomal RNA, 1331 nt
Filed under: uncultured bacterium
Lineage: Bacteria
Description: bacterial SSU rRNA
Rfam family: Bacterial small subunit ribosomal RNA
Source: RNAcentral
UCGUCGACCGGCGCACGGGCGAGUAAACGCGUCUUCCAACCCGCUCUCCGAAGCUCAAGGGAUAACCCGUCGAAAAGUCGGCCUAAUACCUUCAUGCAGUCGUCGGAGAGUCAUCUGAUGACGACGAGAAGAUUUUCAUCGGUGAGAGAUGGGGAUGCGUCUGAUUAGCUUCGUUGGCGGGGUAACGGCCCACCAAGGCGACGAUCAGUAGGGGUUUCUGAGAGGAAGGUCCCCCACAUUGGAACUGAGACACGGUCCAAACUCCUACGGGAGGCAGCAGUGAGGAAUAUUGGUCAAUGGGCGUAAGCCUGAACCAGCCAAGUAGCGUGCAGGAUGACGGCCCUAUGGGUUUGUAAACUGCUUUUUAUGCGGGGAUAAAGUUGAGGGACGUUGUCCUUCAUUUGCAGGUACCGCAUGAAUAAGGACCGGCUAAUUUCCUGCCAGCAGCCCGCGGUAAUACGGAAGGUCCGGGCGUUUAUCCGGAUUUUUUGGGUUUAAAGGGAGCGUAGGCCGUGGAUUAAGCGUGUUGUGAAAUGUAGACGCCUCAACGUCUGACUUUCAGCGCGAACUGGUCCACUUGAGUGUGCACAACGCAGGCGGAAUUCGUCGUGUAGCGGUGAAAUGCUUAGAUAUGACGAAGAACCCCGAUUGCGAAGGCAGCUUGCGGGAGCACGACUGACGCUGAAGCUCGAAAGUGCGGGUAUCGAACAGGAUUAGAUACCCUGGUAGUCCGCACGGUAAACGAUGGAUGCCCGUUGUCAGGUUAUUUUAGUCUGGUGACCAAGCGAAAGCAUUAAGCAUCCCACCUGGGGAGUACGCCGGCAACGGUGAAACUCAAAGGAAUUGACGGGGGCCCGCACAAGCGGAGGAACAUGUGGUUUAAUUCGAUGAUACGCGAGGAACCUUACCCGGGCUUGAAUUGCAGACGAACGAUUCAGAGAUGAUGAGGCCCUUCGGGGCGUCUGUGAAGGUGCUGCAUGGUUGUCGUCAGCUCGUGCCGUGAGGUGUCGGCUUAAGUGCCAUAACGAGCGCAACCCCUAUUCUCGGUUGCCAUCGGGUAAUGCCGGGCACUCCGUGGAGACUGCCACCGUAAGGUGUGAGGAAGGUGGGGACGACGUCAAAUCAGCACGGCCCUUACGUCCGGGGCUACACACGUGUUACAAUGGCCGGUACAGCGAGUCGGCCGCAUGCAAAUGCGGUCCAAUCCUGAAAGCCGGUCCCAGUUCGGACCGGGGUCUGCAACCCGACCCCGCGAAGCCGGAUUCGCUAGUAAUCGCGCAUCAGCCAUGGCGCGGUGAAUACGUUCCCGGGCCUUGCACACACCGCCCGUC